GACGAACGCUGGCGGCGUGCUUAACACAUGCAAGUCGAACGGAAAGGCCCUGCUUUUGUGGGGUGCUCGAGUGGCGAACGGGUGAGUAACACGUGAGUAACCUGCCCUUGACUUUGGGAUAACUUCAGGAAACUGGGGCUAAUACCGGAUAGGAGCUCCUGCUGCAUGGUGGGGGUUGGAAAGUUUCGGCGGUUGGGGAUGGACUCGCGGCUUAUCAGCUUGUUGGUGGGGUAGUGGCUUACCAAGGCUUUGACGGGUAGCCGGCCUGAGAGAGUGACCGGCCACAUUGGGACUGAGAUACGGCCCAGACUCCUACGGGAGGCAGCAGUGGGGAAUAUUGCACAAUGGGCGGAAGCCUGAUGCAGCAACGCCGCGUGCGGGAUGACGGCCUUCGGGUUGUAAACCGCUUUCGCCUGUGACGAAGCGUGAGUGACGGUAAUGGGUAAAGAAGCACCGGCUAACUACGUGCCAGCAGCCGCGGUGAUACGUAGGGUGCGAGCGUUGUCCGGAUUUAUUGGGCGUAAAGGGCUCGUAGGUGGUUGAUCGCGUCGGAAGUGUAAUCUUGGGGCUUAACCCUGAGCGUGCUUUCGAUACGGGUUGACUUGAGGAAGGUAGGGGAGAAUGGAAUUCCUGGUGGAGCGGUGGAAUGCGCAGAUAUCAGGAGGAACACCAGUGGCGAAGGCGGUUCUCUGGGCCUUUCCUGACGCUGAGGAGCGAAAGCGUGGGGAGCGAACAGGCUUAGAUACCCUGGUAGUCCACGCUGUAAACGGUGGGUACUAGGUGUGGGGUCCAUUCCACGGGUUCCGUGCCGUAGCUAACGCUUUAAGUACCCCGCCUGGGGAGUACGGCCGCAAGGCUAAAACUCAAAGGAAUUGACGGGGCCCCGCACAAGCGGCGGAGCAUGCGGAUUAAUUCGAUGCAACGCGUAGAACCUUACCUGGGUUUGACAUGGAUCGGGAGUGCUCAGAGAUGGGUGUGCCUCUUUUGGGGUCGGUUCACAGGUGGUGCAUGGCUGUCGUCAGCUCGUGUCGUGAGAUGUUGGGUUAAGUCCCGCAACGAGCGCAACCCUUGUUCACUGUUGCCAGCACGUUAUGGUGGGGACUCAGUGGAGACCGCCGGGGUCAACUCGGAGGAAGGUGGGGAUGACGUCAAGUCAUCAUGCCCCUUAUGUCCAGGGCUUCACGCAUGCUACAAUGGCUGGUACAGAGAGUGGCGAGCCUGUGAGGGUGAGCGAAUCUCGGAAAGCCGGUCUCAGUUCGGAUUGGGGUCUGCAACUCGACCUCAUGAAGUCGGAGUCGCUAGUAAUCGCAGAUCAGCAACGCUGCGGUGAAUACGUUCCCGGGGCU
This 1346-nucleotide ribosomal RNA is filed under the name uncultured bacterium. RNAcentral describes it as "partial 16S ribosomal RNA". It matches the Rfam family "Bacterial small subunit ribosomal RNA", at positions 28 to 1381 of the family's 1533-position model. The record is from RNAcentral.